CAGUCGCCGCGGGAAUACGAAGUGGGCUAGCGUUGCUCGGAAUUACUGGGCGUAAAGGGAGCGUAGGCGGGUCGUUUAGUCAGAGGUGAAAUCCCGGGGCUCAACCUCGGAACUGCCUUUGAUACUGGCGACCUUGAGUAUGGGAGAGGUGAGUGGAACUCCGAGUGUAGAGGUGAAAUUCGUAGAUAUUCGGAAGAACACCAGUGGCGAAAGCGACUCACUGGCCCAUUACUGACGCUGAGGCUCGAAAGCGUGGGGAGCAAACAGGAUUAGAUACCCGCGUAGUCCCUGUCUCUUAUAC
RNAcentral lists this ribosomal RNA (301 nucleotides) under uncultured bacterium. RNAcentral describes it as "partial 16S ribosomal RNA". It matches the Rfam family "Bacterial small subunit ribosomal RNA", at positions 509 to 807 of the family's 1533-position model. The record is from RNAcentral.